Molecule: long non-coding RNA, 1542 nt
Organism: Rosa rugosa (rugosa rose)
Lineage: Eukaryota; Viridiplantae; Streptophyta; Magnoliopsida; Rosales; Rosaceae
Exons: 2
Source: RefSeq, a predicted model, not a curated record
AAGUUUUCCUCAUAAAUAGGAGAGGGAAACAUCUUUAUCUUUAGCAAACUCUAUAUGGGUCCUUAGCUAUUUUGGAGAGUAAUUUUAGUAAUUGCACCAGACUCCUAAGUGGCUCUCAAUUCUAACUUUUAUUCAAGAUUUAUGAGAGUGUAAUGUGGUACGAAAAGUGUGGAAAUGCCCUUUCUUUGGCUAAUGUUUGUAAAGUGUGGAAAGAAAGAGGCUUCUUUGAACUAUUUCUACAUUUUGCUAUAGUAGCUAGAAAGGAUGAGCUUGAGUAGACUAGGGUGGUUUCCAAGAAGCUUUGGCAUGAAAUGAAUGAGAGAUUGCAUGGGAAGCAAUUGAGAGCAGCAGAAGAUAUAAUAUAUUGAAGGUGCGGCAUGUUGGUGGGAUGUUUAUGACUUUAUGCAAGUACAAACGCAAGUGGCCAGGAUGGCUGUACCGAGAAAAUUUCUAAAUGGGCUACUGUCUUAUCUGGGCAGAAGCAAUCUAGAUGGAAGUGUUUGGACCCAAAAUGGGAGUAUCCAAUACAAGGUGCUAUUAAAUUGAAUGUUGGUGGAGUAAUAAUGGAGAGUCAAGGCAUCUAUGGUACUGGUACGGUCUACAGAGAUGACAAAGGCUAUGUUUGGGGGGGCUUUUUAGCUCCCCUGCUUAUAAGCAGAAGACCCAUAAGUGUUUGGUAAGCCAACUUCUCAUCAGCUUCCUCCAGAAGCUGCUGUGGCUUCUGCCCAAAAGCAGAAGCUGCCGAACCCCAGCUUUUAAAAGCCAGAAGCCCGAAAAUCUACUGUAGCGGUGUUACUGUAGAUUAAUGAAAAUUUCAAAAUACCGGUAGAUACCCUUCCAAGCUGAAACAAUUUCAGCUGAACCAUUAACCCUUCGCAUUUCCCAAAUUGGUAACUGUUCCCCAUCUCUCUCCCUCAUCACACCCGCGGAUCACAGCUUCCCUGCUCCCCCAGAUCUCUCCCUCAUCACACCCGCACCGCCGCAUCCUCGCUGCUCCCUCACCGCCGCAUCCUCGAAGCUCCCCGUCACCUUCACAUCGUCGCUGCUCCCCAUCACAGACGUAUCUCUCUCCCUCACAUCGUCGCUGCUCCCCGUCACCGCUCUCCAUCUCCGUCCGUCAUCAUAGACCGCAGCCCCGACGUCGAUAUACCCAUCUCCACUCCUCCGACCUCAAAGUGUGUAUCGGACAUGGCGAAGGCUUCCAAGGGCAACCAUGAUGAGUUUGAAGACGAUGAUGAAGAAAAUCAAGCAGGUUUUUUUUUUUUUUUUUGAGGUUUGAGGAAUUUUUAUGUAGAGAAGGAGGAGCAAGAUUAAUGAGAGGCAAGCUUAAGCUCAGUGAUUACUGUUUACAUUUUCUUUUUCAGUUCUGGUUUGUAUUUGAUUUUGGAUUUUGGAUUUAGAAUAUGUAGGUGAAGCAGAGUAUUGUGUUGGGUUUAAUAUCCAAGAUUGUAUAUGUGAAGGGUUUCUGUGUAGUCUCUGUCAUAUGUGUGUACUUUUUGUUUUUUGAAGAAAUGUCACCUUGCAAGCAUUUUCACAGUGUUA